This 301-nucleotide ribosomal RNA is filed under the name uncultured bacterium. Its description in RNAcentral is "partial 16S ribosomal RNA". It matches the Rfam family "Bacterial small subunit ribosomal RNA", at positions 509 to 807 of the family's 1533-position model. The record is from RNAcentral.
CAGUCGCCGCGGGAAUACGAAGGGGGCUAGCGUUGCUCGGAAUCACUGGGCGUAAAGGGUGCGUAGGCGGGUCUUUAAGUCAGGGGUGAAAUCCUGGAGCUCAACUCCAGAACUGCCUUUGAUACUGAAGAUCUUGAGUAUGGGAGAGGUGAGUGGAACUGCGAGUGUAGAGGUGAAAUUCGUAGAUAUUCGCAAGAACACCAGUGGCGAAGGCGGCUCACUGGCCCAUAACUGACGCUGAGGCACGAAAGCGUGGGGAGCAAACAGGAUUAGAUACCCGCGUAGUCCCUGUCUCUUAUAC